This 71-nucleotide transfer RNA is filed under the name Bombylius sp. RNAcentral's name for it is "tRNA-Lys". The record is from RNAcentral. Lineage: Eukaryota; Metazoa; Arthropoda; Insecta; Diptera; Bombyliidae.
CAUUAGAUGACUGAAAGCAAGUAAUGGUCUCUUAAACCAAAAUAUAGUAAUUUAGCACUUACUUCUAAUGA